This 253-nucleotide ribosomal RNA is filed under the name uncultured bacterium. RNAcentral describes it as "partial 16S ribosomal RNA". It matches the Rfam family "Bacterial small subunit ribosomal RNA", at positions 524 to 776 of the family's 1533-position model. The record is from RNAcentral.
UACGUAGGUGGCAAGCGUUGUCCGGAAUUAUUGGGCGUAAAGCGCGCGCAGGUGGUUUCUUAAGUCUGAUGUGAAAGCCCACGGCUCAACCGGGGAGGGUCAUUGGAAACUGGGAAACUUGAGUGCAGAAGAGGAAAGUGGAAUUCCAAGUGUAGCGGUGAAAUGCGUAGAGAUUUGGAGGAACACCAGUGGCGAAGGCGACUUUCUGGUCUGUAACUGACGCUGAGGCGCGAAAGCGUGGGGAGCAAACAGG